GGGUAGCCCACCACUUAUAGUGGCAGAGUGGCAGAGUAUCUGCUCGGCAUGCGGAAGGCCCUGGGUUCAAUCCCCGGUGUCUCCA
Molecule: transfer RNA, 85 nt
Filed under: Sphaerodactylus townsendi
Lineage: Eukaryota; Metazoa; Chordata; Lepidosauria; Squamata; Sphaerodactylidae
Description: tRNA-Ala
Source: RNAcentral